Heterocephalus glaber (naked mole-rat) is the source of this 1067-nucleotide long non-coding RNA. The record is from Ensembl. Lineage: Eukaryota; Metazoa; Chordata; Mammalia; Rodentia; Bathyergidae.
GGGCUGGGGCCGGGGCCGGGGCGGCUGAGCGCGCGCGGCUCUGCCUCCAGCCCCCUUCCGCCUCGCCACCCGCUUUGCUCUUUGCGCCUGCGGUAAAUUCUGUUACAGAUGAGCGCAGAGUGGGUAAAACCAGAACCGAGCCUCUCUGGCCAGUGCAGGCCUUUGAUGAAGUAACAGCCCAACUCAAGAACAGCUAGGAAACCCUGGGAAGCAGGUGUCUGGCUGGCCCCGACGAAAGGAGGAAGCACCGCGCCAGGGUAGAGGAACUCUGGGUCUUGGUAUUGCAGAGCGUCGCAUCUUUCUGCCAAAGCCUGGCAAUUCCAUUAAAUAUUUGAAUCACAACUAAAUUUUUUAUUCUGUUCCUUUCUCGACAAAUACAAUUUUGAAUAGUAUUUCAAUUCCCAGUAUAGUUUUUCUACAAGGAGAGAGGGCCUGGGCAAAUGAAUAGCCCUUCCCUUGGCGUUUUCAUUGUAAACGAAAGCAUUGUUAUUUGGGGUUUCAUACAGGAGCUUCUAGUGAGCGUGACUCAGCUCCUCUGGCCUUGGUACCGCAAAAGUCAGACCCUGAAUGUGGGAAUUCACCAAGAUAAAUGCCACUCCCAGGGAUCUUACUAGCCCGCUUUUUGUCACCCCAACUGCCAUGCUUCCGAGGUUACUUUUCUACAGAAAGGGAUCUGCAGGCAGAUCAGGAGCCAAAACGUUGAAUAUUAGGGGACCCUUGCGACAUGAUUUCUUAUUUAUUAGUAAAACCUUUAAAGUGAAAAGGUUCUACUGGAGUACAACAAAGAGGGCCACCUGAGAGGACCACAUCCUCUGGGGGGAGCAAACCUAGGGUGCAGGUGUCCAGCAUAUUUGAAAGAAUUUUGCCCCUGAAGAGAAAGAACGCACCUGAAGCUGGCUUGGUUCUGAAAAAUAACUAGGCCUUAGAAUGGUUUCCCAACAGUUGGUUAGCAAGGACACUAUAGAAAGAAAUCAGUUCUAGGGAAGAAAUGUUGGGACUGCCGUUCUUUAAGGAGUUAGAGGAGGAAUAGCUACUGGGCAAGGGAGAAGACACCUUGAAGAAUGGAC